AAAAACAUGUCUUUUUGAAUAUAAUUUAAGGUCUAACCUGCCCACUGAAAUUUUUAAAGGGCCGCGGUAUUUUGACUGUGCAAAGGUAGCAUAAUCAUUAGUCUUUUAAUUGAAGGCUUGUAUGAAUGGUUGGAUGAGGUAUUAACUGUCUCAAAUUAAUAAAUAAUUGAAUUUAAUUUUUAAGUUAAAAAGCUUAAAUAAUUAUAGAGGACGAGAAGACCCUAUAGAUCUUUAUAAUUUAUUUAUUUAUCAUAUUUUUAGUUAAUUAAUUUUGUUAAGUAAUAUAAUUAUUUUAUUGGGGUGAUAGAAAAAUUUAAUAAACUUUUUUUUAUUUAAACAUAAAUUUAUGAAUAAAUGAUCCAUUAAUAAUGAUUAUAAGAUUAAGUUACCUUAGGGAUAACAGCGUAAUUUUUUUAAAGAGUUCUUAUCGAUAAAAAAGAUUGCGACCUCGAUGUUGAAUUAAAGUUAAAUUUUAGGUGCAAAAGUUUAAAAUUUUGGUCUGUUCGACCUAUAAAUCUUUACAUGAUCUGA
RNAcentral lists this ribosomal RNA (531 nucleotides) under Neohermes californicus. RNAcentral describes it as "partial 16S ribosomal RNA". It matches the Rfam family "Bacterial large subunit ribosomal RNA", at positions 1809 to 2608 of the family's 2925-position model. The record is from RNAcentral. Lineage: Eukaryota; Metazoa; Arthropoda; Insecta; Megaloptera; Corydalidae.